This is a non-coding RNA of Microcebus murinus (gray mouse lemur), 1412 nucleotides long. The record is from RefSeq and is a predicted model, not a curated record. Lineage: Eukaryota; Metazoa; Chordata; Mammalia; Primates; Cheirogaleidae.
CCCUCCCACACACCUCCCUCGGCUAGGUGUCUGGGUGCUAACGCACAGAGCCACACACACAGAAGCCACGUCUGCAUCAUCCCUGCCCUCUCCACGUGGCUCUCCUAUGACCUCACCCGACAAGGAGACCAGGUUGAAUGUCCCACUCAAGGUCACGCAGUGAGUAGGAGGCCCGCCAAGGCCCAGCGGGGCAGCCGGCAGCCCCUGUACUGACUGCUGGCUCCGGUCAGAACAGAGGCCCCCAGCCUGGGGUGCGGAGGGAGCCUCGCUGUCAGAGUCCCGUCACUGAGGGGUGAGCGGGCUGACCGGGCUGGCAGCACGGCUGGCCUCUCCUGCCCCCACCUGCCCUGCACCUGCAGGCUCCGCCCUCCCAUGCAGGAACGCGCCCUCUGCUGAGCUCGUCUGUUCCAGUCAUACCUUCCAGAACCAGGGAAAACCACAGAUGGGCCCACCGGGAUCAGACCUGAGCUAAGGCUCCAUGGGUCACCUGGCCUCCACUGGCCCCUCCUCCGACACAGUGAGGUCUGUCUCCUGGAAUUCACAUCAGUUCAGAGCCAGCACCCAGCAGUCCCUGAAAGGGUUGACACCUGUAGCCCGUGCCACCCCAGGAUCUGACUGCUCUGCUGCACUUCGGUUUCCUAACUCAGUAGCUGCAGCUGCCGCUGUGAUGUCUGACCUGCAAGAGAGAACCAGGCACAGAGCGCUUGGAGGAGGCUGGGGCUCCCCCACCCAGAUUCAUUUCUCACGGGCAUGGCAGAAGGAGUGUCCCCUGGACCCUCCCAGGCAGGGGAACUCACCCCAAUCUCCCUAAGCCUUUGAAUCCUGUCCACUACAGGUGUGUCUGGCAUUUCACCAUUUUGCGUAGAUCACUUUUGGCCCACGCUUCGGACCCCAACCACCAACCAGUCAGGGCCCUUUGUAACCCCAAGAACAGCAACAUUCAGCCCAGAAUCUCUGCUUGGUGGGCCCCCAUCCGUAAAUGCAGCUGAUCCGCUUUAUGUUCCUUCCCCAUUAUCCCUGCAGUAGGGUGUCUGGUUCUUCCCCGCUUUCCUUCUAGGUCCCGACCCAAAAUUAGAGUGCCUCGACAUUUUGUGACCCAGCUGCAGUUUUGGGGGCCUUGAACAUUCCCAGGCACUGAUAAAGUUGCUCCCGGCCCUAUGAGGACAUGACAUUAAUGGACUGCCACGCACCUCCCCAGCUAGGCCGCGUGUCCUGGCGGCCACAACCCCAUCUUGCUCAUAGCCGCAUCCCCAGCACCGAGCCCAGAACCGGGCACACAGAAGAUGCUCAACAAAUACUUUUAAACAGUGCAAAGGUCCGACAUUCACAUCCUGGCAUAAAGACAGCAGGCCUGGCUGAGCGCAGCAGUGAGCACCUGUAAUCUCAGCACUUUGAGAAGCUGAGGUGGGUGC